RNA transcript from Rosa chinensis, 1073 nucleotides. RefSeq lists it as uncharacterized. The record is from RefSeq and is a predicted model, not a curated record. NCBI's taxonomy places the organism in Eukaryota, Viridiplantae, Streptophyta, Magnoliopsida, Rosales, Rosaceae. The transcript is spliced from 2 exons.
GGGACUCCAGGAUAUGUAAGACUAUGCUGCGAAGCUAGUGUAAAGCGGCUGGAUGUCUACUACAUUCAUCUUUACUAUCAGCACUGUGUCUGCUUCAGUGCCACUUGAGGAUACUGAGAAAGGGAUUAGGCGAUAUUAGUUCCUCGGAGACAGACAAUGCAGGGCACUUGUCCCACACUCAAACCCGAAGGUGAAGGGUCUGCCCCACUCUGGGAACCCACCGCCCGUCCCCCAACUCAAUACAAUACGGACACGGGCCACACAUGUAAUAAACAGAGAUAGAAAUGCAGCUAACAGUACUUCUUUUGGUUUAAUUUUCGGUUGAUUGGAGUCAUGGAUUUAUGGUCAUUUAUAUUUCGUAUAAAGGAAAAGAGUACUGAUUUGAUCAGGUCUUUGUUUUUGUAAAGAUUCCUGCAGGAAGUGAUCAAUCGAUUCAGCACCUGGUGAUUCUCAUCCUAUGUGCUUAGUUAAUUCAUGCCUUCUUAUGUAGGUGCUUGUUGAAAAUCAAAUUUUUGUAGUUGCAGAGCAUUAUUGACACUCACUGACAUUUCGUAUGUUAUAGGUAACAAAGAAUGUCAGAUUAUUAGGACAAAAUUAUGAUUAAAUCUUACAGGUUUCAGAUCACUAGGUGCAAAUGUGCAAUGACAUAUUAAACAUGACCUUUUGUGUUUUGCUAACGGCAGUUAUAUUAUUGUUCACGGUAGAACAAUCUAAGCUACCCUCUGAUUUUGCUGACGAUGGAGGAUGAAUCUCAGAUUCAAAUCCCAAAUGCUGUACAGCCAAGUCAGGGCUUGGAGGUAAGUUUACACUUGUUUGAAAUGUCAACUAAACUAAGUUGAUCAAUUUAGAACAAUCUAAAAUAAAGGAAGAGCAGAAUGUGUUACAGUGUAUCUAGCUUCAUUCCUAUCAAGCUGAAAUUUCAGUCUGUAAAACACUAUGAAGUUACUAUCUGAUUAGUUCGCUGUAAUAGUUUGGUACAUAAAUAGCAAAUCCAGCAUAGGUAUGAUAGUUUGUGUAUCAAAUCAGAAUUGCAAAUUAACUAAUAUAUGUACAAAAGUUGAUUUUCGGUUCCU